GUUUUUGGAUGUAUAUUUUGCAAGUAUCAAGAUGUAUUGUUCAUGUAUUUUAUUAGUCCGAUAAGAAUUUAAUGUAAUAUGCUUGUAAAUGAUUUUUCUGUUGGUCUGAAUGGUUAAGUCUCGACGCACCUUGCCAAUAAGCUUCCUAAUACAGGAUGAACUAUAUGAUUGUAGAUGCUUUCUACUUUGCAUUUGGUAAGGUACUGGUGUUUCAAUGUCCUUUUAAUAAUAGAGAGAAAUAGACAGGCGCACACUGAGGUUGCAACGUUGUUUAAUUUUUUAAACCCCUUUUCCUUCCUAAUUUUAUGGUAUCUAAUUGGUAGUUACCGUCUUGUCUCAUCGCUGCAACCUCCGUACAGACUCGGGCGAGGCGAAGGUCGAGAGCCGUGCGUCCUCUGAAACACAACCCAAUCACGCCACACUGCUUCUUGACACAAUGCCCACUUAACCCGGAAGUCAGCCGCACCAAUGUGUUGGAUGGAACACCGUACACCUGGCAACCGUGUCAGCGUGCAUGCGCCUGGCCCGCCACAGUAGUCGCUAGUGCGCGAUGGGACGAGGACAUCCCUGCUGGCCAAACCCUUCCCUAACCCGGAUGACGCUGGGCCAAUUGUGCGCCGCUCCAUGGGUCUCCCAGUCGGGCUGGCUGCGACAGAGCCUGGAUUCUAACCUAGAAUCUCUGAUCAAAAUUGGUACAAAGACAAAUCAAGACUUAAAAUAAAACAAAAAUAAAUGCUGCUGUAUUUUUGAGUUCAGACAAUACGUUCCAGGCCUCCCGAGUGGCACAGUGGUCUAAGGCACUGCAUCACAGUGGUCUAAGGCACUGCGGCACAGUGGUCUAAGGCACUGCAUCACAGUGGUCUAAGGCACUGCAUCACAGUGGUCUAAGGCACUGCAUCACAGUGCUAGCUGUGCCACUCAGGAGGCCUGGAACGGAUUGUCUGAACUCAAAAAUACAGCAGCAUUUAUUUUUGUUUUGUCUUUUUACCAAUUUUGAUCAGUUUAAUAGUGUAUGCACGUUUUAACAUUUUUUUCAAAUGCAAGGUACAAAUCAUAAAAAAUAAAUACAUCAUUUCUCUGACCAAUUUUACUGCAAUACUUGAAUAACUUUCACCUCAAAGCAAUGUCCAUUGCAAUGAUGUCUAAAUGUCAGGCUUUUCUACUUCUAAACCUUGUACUUUUUUCUAGUGUUUGAUGAAAAUAAUCAGGAACUUUUUUUUUCAUGUUUUAAAUCAUUAUGUUUACAAUUACAGUAUUAUGUGCAGCGGUGGUAGCUACAGACUAACAAAAGACUGAUCACAAAAAGGACCUAUACGGUAUGAUUAGCUCUCAAUAGCAUUUUUUUGAGGUAUUAUGUUUUUCUGAUGUUACGGCAGUGAAACAUCAUACUUAACGCUGGGUCAAUUUUAAGUUUGUCCAAAUACAACAGAAUAUAAGUAAAUAAUUUCUCCAUAGGAAUGCAGUUCUAUACCUGAAAUGACUGGCUAUGUAUCCACCUCAUUUUCGAAUGCUUUUAAAACACGGAAGCCAAAUGUGGAAAAUAUGGUUACAACUUCCUUCAUGCUAGCGCAUUAUCAUAAUUCAUAUAUACAGUACCAUUCAAAAGUUUGGCGACACCUACUCAUUGAAGGAUUUUUCUUUAUUUUUACUAUUUUCUACGUUGUAGAAUAAUAGUGAAGACAUCAAAACUAUGAAAUAACACAUGGAAUCAUGCAGUAACCAAAAAAGUGAUAAACAUAUCAAAAUAUAUUUGAGUUUCUUCAAAGUAGACACUCUUUGCCUUGAUAACAGCUUUGCACACUCUUGGCAUUCUCUCAACCAGCUUCACCUGGAAUGCUUUUCCAAUAGUCUUAUAGGAGUUCCCACAUAUGCUGAGCACUUGUUGGCUGCUUUUCCUUCACUCGGGGCGACGGGUAGCCUAGUGGUUAGAGUGUUGGGCCAGUAGCCAAAAGGUUUGCGUGAUCGAAUCCCUGAGCUGACAAGGCAAAAAUCUGUCGUUCUUCCCCUGAACAAGGCAGUUAACCCACUGUCCCUAGGCCGUCAUUGUAAAUAAGAAUUUGUUCUUAUAUUGGCACGAAAUGGGAUAAAACAUUUUGAAACAGGAAGGUAGUACCUGAAGUUGUUUUAAGAAUUCAGAAUUGUUUUGUGUUGCAAAAUUGUUGCUACAUUGUACCCAACUGAAUAUGGCACAGGUGAACAUAAUGCUCAUGAUAUUGGUUUGUAUUUAUUUAACCAUGUGCAUAUCAAACAUAAUUGAAUGAAGGACAUUGUGUUAUUUAUGAGUUUUUCAAAUACUCAGUGGUCUAUAUAUAUUUAUUUGCUAUGGAUCAGGUCAUUGAUAAUGCAUCAAUAUUGUACCAUGUAAUUAAUGUAAGGUAACAUAAAAUGACUGCAGAAGUCUUCCCUUGGACUGUUAUAUCCAAGUCCAGGCACUCGUGUGGGUUUGAAAGUUAAAAAAUACUUUAAUUUAUGGGCUACACCAUUAUUAAAAUCGUAUCGGCUUACUGCGUCUGAUACAAAAUGGAGGAGAUGCAGUUAUAUAGCCUUGACUCACUUUGUAUCAGACACCCUGAUGAAGGCCUAAGCCGAUACGCAUUAGUGUGUUUUAAUAAUGUUGUAGCCCAUUAAUGAAAGGCUUCCUAACUUUCAAACCCACCAGGUUCCUUGACUUUGAUUGUUUAUGCCACUUAUCACUUAUUUGAUGUUAUAAUUUUCCCAUAUGCUUUUCAAUUCAUAUUCCCCUCAAAGAGCACCUGUGGUUGUUUUGGAAUACCUGAAGCGCUUCUGCUACGGCUUUUCUUUCUUUAAGGUGUUAUAGACAUGAGUGAUAAAUAAAACUUCUCA
RNAcentral lists this long non-coding RNA (2844 nucleotides) under Salmo salar (Atlantic salmon). Its description in RNAcentral is "lncRNA (ENSSSAG00000100787.1)". Lineage: Eukaryota; Metazoa; Chordata; Actinopteri; Salmoniformes; Salmonidae. The record is from RNAcentral.